GAUUCAAGGGCCUGUUGAAAAUGGUAUUACUGGUAUAGAAAACCCUGGAUAUUUGCAGCAGCCUCUAGUUUAUACCGAUGCAAUCAGUCCAAACCCGAGACCAUCAUCGGUACUUCCAUCAAACGAGCAAAUGACCAAAGCACCGUACUAUGCAGAACAGUAUAAUCCGGGGGCAUCGCGUUAUUAGUGUAUUUAAGUUUAAUGAUACGAGCGUUAUUGCUUGUUUUAAAUACUUACCAUUUACUCUUAUUCAAAAGAUAUUGCUUAUACCAAAUGUAUUGUUAUAAAAGACAUCAUUAAUAAUUGUAGUUUAUACCGUAUAGCGGGUUAUUUUCGCCGGUCUAAAAUUUCGCGAUAUUCAUUGAAUAAGGUAUAUGAAACAUUUUGGUGGUUAUUAUUUUGGCGGAUUAAAAACUUUAAUCGAUACCUUUGCAUGUACACUUUAAUUUGGCGAUUUUGUUCUAUCCGAAAAAAAUCAGCGACAAUUUACACUCCGCGAAAAUAACCCGCUAUACGGUAUGCAAUUAUCAUUAAACAAAGUCAAAAGAAUCUACAUGUGAUAUGUUUUUAUAUUAAUGUAAUAAGGGAAUAAGAUGCAUAUAGAUUUACCAAUAUUUUUAUAAAACAUCAUUAUUUUGUAUUCAUCUGUAGGGUUUCAAUGCACAUAUGUUGCAUACAAAAUUGACAGAAAAAAAUAAGUUUACAAAUAGAAAUACUUAUUUCGAAAAUUAUAAAAAGAAUACAUACUGUUCUGCUUGAAUUGAUAUUUUGAUAUUUAAAUGUCGUGUACAUGUAAUUAUUUAGUUCGGGUUAUUACUUGUACAAACACUUUGUACAAAUUAUUAAUUGCAUGGUUCCAUCAUAAAAUUUAUUACUUGUACAAAUAAAUUGUACAAGAAAUUACUUGUACAAUGUUUGUAAAGAAAAAGAUAGUUACUUAUACAACUCACUAUCUUUGAGAUUCAUAAAAUAAACCAAAUCUUAAUGACAAUGAUACAUAUUUAUUAAUAAUGGAAUACUAACAUUUACUGACAUGCCAGCUACAAACCUCAAUUAAACUGAUAAAAAAUAAUGUCCUCUUCAAAUGAAAAUCAAGCACAAUCCCUCCCGUUAGGGGUUUAGUAUGAUGCUAUCCUAAAAUACAUGAGAAGACAUGACCCGUGUCAUGCUAGCAACUGGUUUAAGAAUGAAUGUGUUUAUUUCUGCUGCACGUGAAUCAAUUUUAAAACCACAAUAUGCCAUUCUUAAUGACCUGAAAAUAGUAUCGUAACCUCCGUAAUUACAUAAGCUGUAAAUUACCUUCCAUUAUCACUUUGCAGUAUAUGUGGAAUUCCCAAAAGUAAGAAAAAAAUUAAGUGAGUUGGUAAAUCAGUUCAGCAGCUCUUUUUAUCUUUAGAGUACAGUACACGUAAUUGGUAAAGUGAUCCUGGUAGUGCAUGAUCUACUUAUAUUCUCCAUCUGU
This 1462-nucleotide long non-coding RNA is filed under the name Mytilus galloprovincialis (Mediterranean mussel). The record is from RNAcentral. Lineage: Eukaryota; Metazoa; Mollusca; Bivalvia; Mytilida; Mytilidae.